CUUCCGCUGCUUAUUAUAAUCCAUCAUUUUGACCUAACCAUAUAUUUAUAUGCUAGUAAAAAAUAAAAAUCUUUAUACUAUUACCAUUAUUAUUGCUUUUAUCACCGAUAUCUUUAAUUAUAGAUAUCUUACUUAUUUUUUACUUUUAUUUAUGUUUUGUGUUAUGUUAAUAUGAGUUAACUUAAAUAAAGAAUUGUGAUAAGUGAGACUCAUAUAGUUGAUUUCAACUUAUUAUGGGUGAAAUGUUGUUAUUGGUGCUGCUUAUCUUACUAUCAAAGGUGAAUUAGGUAAUGGAAGUAACUUACUUGCGAAUUCGUCUCCACUCGAGCUGAUGCAAAGCUUGGCAAUUGUUAUAAUCCGAUUUUGCUAGCUCCAGAUAUAGGUUAUUGUUAACAAACCCUGAUGCAAAGCUUGGCAAUUGUUAUAGUCCGAUUUUGCUAGCUCCAGAUAUAGGUUAUUGUUAACAA
RNAcentral lists this long non-coding RNA (467 nucleotides) under Nicotiana benthamiana. RNAcentral describes it as "long non-coding RNA (NBEN_LNC040407)". Lineage: Eukaryota; Viridiplantae; Streptophyta; Magnoliopsida; Solanales; Solanaceae. The record is from RNAcentral.